UGCAUAGCUAAAACAUAAACUCUUCACCUGCACAGGAAAGAUUUAAACUUUGAAGUGAUUCUUUGGUACAUGAUGCCUGUCAGGUUUCUUUUUGCACUGUGGUUACUGUGCUGUGCAUAACACCACAGUAUUUUCAAUGCUCUAGUGAUCAAAAAGAGAAGUACAAUACAGACACAAUGUAAGUAUUUUUUAUCAUGCAGGAAGAUGAAAAGACAUUCAAGUACCAUGAAAGAAAGCUUGGAAAACAGGCAAGUGCAGAGAACCUGGCAAAAGAUUACCAGUCUUUCAGGUUUGCCCUGCCUAUUUGAUUGAGUUUUCAGGAGGAAAUAUGAAGGAGGAGAAGCCAAAGAGCUAUGGGAAGAAGGGCACUGAAAUGCUUUUACAUCCAGCAGCAGGAUUGCAUUUGGCAGCACAAGCAUGCCUGUAAGCCAAGCUUCCUCUGAUUAAAUGUUUUUGGCCAAAUAUCAGAAUUGGUAAGUAUAUUGCAUAUUGAACUCCUUUUCAAAAGCAUAAUGAGAAAGAAGGGGGAAUACUGUUCAGUUUAGGAAAACCUAGAUAGCACUGUAUUUUGAAACCUAGUUACUGAAAAACGUGGGAAGUGGUGGCUGACAGUGACAGGGCCGCUUAACCAGGCUUUGCAAGAAAAAGUCCGCAAUACCACCAGGUGGCGCGUAAAGCCCAAAAUAACCCUAAACCUGCCCAAACCGCA
Molecule: long non-coding RNA, 709 nt
Organism: Pezoporus flaviventris
Lineage: Eukaryota; Metazoa; Chordata; Aves; Psittaciformes; Psittacidae
Exons: 3
Source: RefSeq, a predicted model, not a curated record